ACCUCUCCUGACAAGAGCUGGCAGCAUGUGGCUCCUGCCCCAGGUCUUUGUGGUGGCCUCCGUCUGGACAUACACAAGUGGAGAUAUCCUAACAACACACCCCGUAGCAUCCAUUACCAAGAAAAGGGGAAAUACAGCAUUUCUUGAAUGCCAAAUAAAAACAGAUACGUUAAAGAGGAACGUAUACACACACUGGUACCGGCAGAAGCCCAACCAGCCCCUAAAACGAAUUCUGUAUAUUUCCUCAAAUGAAAAUAUUGUCUACGAGCAAGGGAUUAGUGAGGAAAAAUAUGAAGCAAGAAAAUGGCUGAGCAAUUCAUUGGUGAACCUCAGGAUACACGGAGUUACCGAGGAAGAUACAGAUGGAGAAACCAAAAUGAGAAUUUCUCAGGAUCAACUCAGCUCUACCCGAAGACUAGACAGAAUAGUGCAGAUAAGUUGCAAGCUGUCUGGGGUUCCUCUCAAGAAUGCCAUUGUGCACUGGUAUCAACAGAAAGAAGGGGAACCCCUGAAAUGAAUCCUUUAUGGCUCAACCAACAGUUACCAGCUAGAUGAGCCUAACUCCAGGUUGGAGACAGUUACGAAGGACGAGGGGAUCUUUUACCUGGUGAUCAAUAACGUUGUCAAGUCUGAUGAAGCCACCUACUACUGUGCCUGCUAGGAUCUCACAAUAUUUGGAGAAGGGACUAAGCUCAUAGUAACUCCCCCUGAUAGAAAUCUUGCUGCAGACAUGUCCCCUAAGCCCACUAUAUUUCUUCCUUCGAUUGCUGAAAUAAACCUCCAUAACACUGGGACACAUCUUUGUCUUCUUGAGAAAUUUUUCCCUGAUGCUAUUAAGGUAUAUUGGAAAGAAAAGAAUGGCAAUACGGUUCUGGAAUCCCAGCAGGGAGAUGUCAUCCAGACUAACGACACGUACAUGAAAUUCAGCUGGCUGACGGUGACUCAAAAGUCUGCAGACAAAGAACACAUAUGUAUCGUCAAACAUGAGAAUAACAAAAGAGGAACUGAUCAAGAGAUUCUUUUUCCUUCAAUGAACAAAGAGGUCACUACAGAUGUUUGCCUGAAAGAUACAAGUGGUACAAUGCAGCUGCAGCUCACAAACACCUCUGCCUAUUACACCUACCUCCUUCUACUCCUCAAGAGCGCCCUCUACUUCGCCAUCAUCACCUACUGUCUGUUUCGAGAAACAACAGUCUGUAGCACCUGGAAGAGGUCCUGACAGAUGAUGCCACCAAGGGCUCAACUUUCCUUCAUCAUCAUCUCUACAAGUGUCUGCUGAGGAUCUAGCAGCACUUCCUUUCUGGGUUUGGCUUCUUUCAGAGAAUGUGUACAGCUUUCUAUUAGGUCAGCAUUGUGUAAGGAUUUUUCAAACCACUGAGCAAACAGACCCUUGCACUGUCUAACAAGGAAUUCUGCCAUGACUCGGGGCAGGGCUGAGGGCUGGUCCAUGGGAGCCUUUCCCACCACUGUCCCUCAGUGUCAUCAGCUCCUCCAGCUGCCUGAGUCCUCUUGCCUCGCGAGCACACACAGCACAGCGCACAGCUCCCCGUCUCCUCCCUCAGGGUUCCACCCAGACCAUAGCCCUGACCUUCCCUGUACACAUCUGGAGCCCCCAGCUUUGCUGCUUCAAUUCUGUUCUUUGAUUUUCAUAAUAGGCACGAUCAAUUAAAAAGAUAUCCAAACUCCA
Molecule: RNA transcript, 1687 nt
Organism: Phacochoerus africanus (Common warthog)
Lineage: Eukaryota; Metazoa; Chordata; Mammalia; Artiodactyla; Suidae
Exons: 7
Source: RefSeq, a predicted model, not a curated record